Stylophora pistillata is the source of this 1371-nucleotide RNA transcript. RefSeq lists it as uncharacterized. The record is from RefSeq and is a predicted model, not a curated record. Lineage: Eukaryota; Metazoa; Cnidaria; Anthozoa; Scleractinia; Pocilloporidae.
UCAAGCUUCUUUGCGUAGUCAGACAACGGUGUAGACGGUUCUUGGUCCGGGAAUUGACUUUUAUCUGUUGUAUUUUCGCCGGAAUCCAUGAUAAUCGUGAGCUAAACUACCAAUAUUAUAUAGCUUUGGCAUAGAUUUACAUGUCCUAGGAGGUGCACAAACAUGGCGGGCGCAAUAAUGUGUGACGUCACACGAAAUCGAUCUAUUGGCUCAAAGUUUACCUAACGAAUAAACAAACAUAUGUAAAUAGCAAAUGUGACUUGUGAGAAGCGAGAUCGUCUUGAGGAUAAUAACAAAGGUUAAAAUCCAGAAUUCAAAGAUGACAACCUCCCAGUAUAAUUGAUAGGCUGAAUUUGAUGGGAAGAUGGCAAAUUAUUCGAUCUUUUCCGGUUUACAAGGGGUCUUUGAGGUUUCCAUUACAAUGACCGGAGAGGAAGGGUACUGGGUAUUUUCAGAUUUGCAAUUUCGCGGAAGGCAUCUAAUGUCAACGUAGGUCACUUGUUAUUCUUCGCUUUGCAAAGAGCUUCCUGCUUAAUUGUCUUCCCGUGUGAGGUAUACUUUGGACUAAAUCAGUAAAGCCGGGUUCCCGUUGCUUGGAGGUAAACUAACAUGUCUUACAGAGAUCGCUUGAUUGCUAACCCAGGGAGAACCGAACUCGAACGGGUGCACACCAAACGAGUUGAGAUUAAAGAUGUUACUGUCACCGUUAAAGUCAGAAAUGAAAUCCACGCGUAUACAAAUCAUUACAUUAAGCAGAGCAAACCUUACUUCCCGAACGAGAAGUUGCCCAUUUACAUCAGUUGUCCGCAUUUUUAAAAAUCACCCCAAUCCCGGGUGGUUUUAGCAUCUUUGGAGGCAUUGUUGUUUUUGGUGUAUCUAAGGCCGUACCUGCGUUCUUUCUCGUUGCUUGCCUGCUGCUCUUCAUGAUGUUUUGCCAAGACGAGUGGGUGAAUGAGAAAACUCUGCCUAUUGUACACAAACAGCCCUUCCUCGAUGAUCAGAAAGGCCUGAACAAAUUCUACGACGUGACCAUCACUGAACUUGAUGGAAUUGCUCUCCAAAAUUACCAAGCUGGGAUUGGUUUUGUUAAACUUUCACAGGGAAAGAUCCAAAUUCAGGCAUUCAACAAGAGAGCGAAGAAACAUAUGUCCGACUCCAAUUGUCAGUCACGAGUAUUGCUGCUCGCUUACUUGGUCGCUUCUAUUUACAACUGCUACUUUGUGGAAGCCCAUUGACUGACCAGCCCGCUGUACGGACGGAUAUCAUGUUAUGCAGAUGGUAAAAAACAGUAGUUUACAUGGAGUUCACUGUUGCAAUCCCUGAUUUGUAGUUAUGAGUAACCACAGAAAUAAAUCAACAGAAUUCCAUCGA